Molecule: unclassified non-coding RNA, 156 nt
Filed under: uncultured Phomopsis
Lineage: Eukaryota; Fungi; Ascomycota; Sordariomycetes; Diaporthales; Cytosporaceae
Description: sequence contains ITS2
Source: RNAcentral
CAACCCUCAAGCAUUGCUUGGUGUUGGGGCACUGCCUGUAAAAGGGCAGGCCCUGAAAUCUAGUGGCGAGCUCGCUAGGACCCCGAGCGUAGUAGUUAAACCCUCGCUUUGGAAGGCCCUGGCGGUGCCCUGCCGUUAAACCCCCAACUUUUGAAA